RNAcentral lists this ribosomal RNA (301 nucleotides) under uncultured bacterium. RNAcentral describes it as "partial 16S ribosomal RNA". It matches the Rfam family "Bacterial small subunit ribosomal RNA", at positions 509 to 807 of the family's 1533-position model. The record is from RNAcentral.
CAGCAGCCGCGGGAAUACGAAGGGUGCAAGCGUUAAUCGGAAUUACUGGGCGUAAAGCGUGCGUAGGCGGUUUGUUAAGUCUGCUGUGAAAUCCCCGGGCUCAACCUGGGAAUGGCAGUGGAUACUGGCAAGCUAGAGUGUGUCAGAGGAUGGUGGAAUUCCCGGUGUAGCGGUGAAAUGCGUAGAGAUCGGGAGGAACAUCAGUGGCGAAGGCGGCCAUCUGGGACAACACUGACGCUGAGGCACGAAAGCGUGGGGAGCAAACAGGAUUAGAUACCCGGGUAGUCCCUGUCUCUUAUAC